Non-coding RNA from Triticum urartu, 115 nucleotides. The record is from Rfam. NCBI's taxonomy places the organism in Eukaryota, Viridiplantae, Streptophyta, Magnoliopsida, Poales, Poaceae.
GUUGUACUCCCUCCGUUCCGAAUUAUUUGUCGCGGGUAUGAAUGUAUCUAGAUGUAUUUUUGUUCUAGAUACAUCCAUUUCUACGACGAGUACUUUGAAACGGAGGGAGUACUUC